RNAcentral lists this ribosomal RNA (237 nucleotides) under uncultured Staphylococcus sp. RNAcentral describes it as "partial 16S ribosomal RNA". It matches the Rfam family "Bacterial small subunit ribosomal RNA", at positions 103 to 334 of the family's 1533-position model. The record is from RNAcentral. Lineage: Bacteria; Bacillati; Bacillota; Bacilli; Caryophanales; Staphylococcaceae.
CGGGUGAGUAACACGUGGAUAACCUACCUAUAAGACUGGGAUAACUUCGGGAAACCGGAGCUAAUACCGGAUAAUAUAUUGAACCGCAUGGUUCAAUAGUGAAAGACAGUUUUGCUGUCACUUAUAGAUGGAUCCGCGCCGCAUUAGCUAGUUGGUAAGGUAACGGCUUACCAAGGCAACGAUGCGUAGCCGACCUGAGAGGGUGAUCGGCCACACUGGAACUGAGACACGGUCCAG